RNAcentral lists this ribosomal RNA (234 nucleotides) under uncultured bacterium. Its description in RNAcentral is "partial 16S ribosomal RNA". It matches the Rfam family "Bacterial small subunit ribosomal RNA", at positions 524 to 756 of the family's 1533-position model. The record is from RNAcentral.
UACGAAGGGUGCAAACGUUGCUCGGAAUUAUUGGGCGUAAAGCGCACGUAGGCGGCUUUGCAAGUCGGAUGUGAAAUCCCUCGGCUUAACCAAGGAAGUGCAUCCGAAACUGCAAGGCUUGAGUACUUAAGAGGAUCGCGGAAUUCCCGGUGUAGAGGUGAAAUUCGUAGAUAUCGGGAGGAACACCAGUGGCGAAGGCGGCGAUCUGGGAAGAUACUGACGCUGGAGGUGCGA